CCGGUUGAUCCUGCCGGACCCUACUGCUAUCGGGAUGGGACUAAGACAUGCUAGUCGUGCGCUUCUAAGCCAUGGUGGAGGCGCGGCACACAGCUCAGUAACACGUGGUUAACCUGCCCUUGGGACGGAAACACCCCCGGGAAACUGGGGCUAAUUUCCGAUAGGUGAAGACUCCUGGAAUGGAUCUUCGCCUAAAGGGCGCUUAGGCCAUGCUUCCAGGCGCUGCCCAAGGAUGGGACCGCGGCCGAUCAGGUUGUUGGUGAGGUAAUGGCUCACCAAGCCUUUAACCGGUUCGGGCCGUGGGAGCGGGAGCCCGGAGAUGGGCACUGAGACAAGGGCCCAGGUCCUACGGGGCGCAGCAGUCGCGAAAACUCCGCAAUACGCGAAGGCGUGACGGGGCUAUCCCGAGUGCCGUCCGCUGAGGAUGGCUUUUCCCCAGUGUAGAUAGCUGGGGGAAUAAGGAGAGGGCAAGUCUGGUGUCAGCCGCCGCGGUGAUACCAGCUCUCCGAGUGGUGGGGACGUUUAUUGGGCCUGAAGCAUCCGUAGCCAGCUGAGCAAGUCCCCAGUUAAAUCCAGCGAUUUAAUCGUUGGACUGCUGGGGAUACUGUCCGGCUUGGGGGUGGGAGAGGCCGAC
RNAcentral lists this ribosomal RNA (634 nucleotides) under uncultured Thermoprotei archaeon. RNAcentral's name for it is "bacterial SSU rRNA". It matches the Rfam family "Archaeal small subunit ribosomal RNA", at positions 4 to 613 of the family's 1478-position model. Lineage: Archaea; Thermoproteati; Thermoproteota; Thermoprotei. The record is from RNAcentral.